Molecule: long non-coding RNA, 606 nt
Organism: Tyto alba (common barn owl)
Lineage: Eukaryota; Metazoa; Chordata; Aves; Strigiformes; Tytonidae
Exons: 4
Source: RefSeq, a predicted model, not a curated record
CGGGGGGGGUGCGGGGCUGGGAGCGGCAGCGGGGCCUGGCGGGAGCUGAGGGGGCCCCGAGGCGGCGGGUGCCCGUGGGGGCCGCGGCUUCGUCCCCUGCGGGUGGUUCCCGGCCUCUCGCGGCGGGGCGGGCUGAGGGCGCGCAGCCUGGGCGCCUGCCCUCCGCCGGGACCCCGCUGCCCCCCGGCCCCAGCCGCCGCUCCUUCCAGGAGGCUUUAUCCCUGUUGAUAACCUGGCAAGAGUAUUUAAACAGAUGAUACCAUCUUCCUGCUCUUAUUGCUGGAGUGGCUGCAAAGAUGAUGACUGCAUAUGUGAGCAGAUGAACUUCCAACACUGAAAAUAGUAAACAUCUCUCCCAGCCAUUCUUCAAGGAGGUAGAUAGAUGUUCUGGGUGUCACAGGACUCCUUCCACCGCUGCUGCACCUUCUCUUCUACAUUCUCUGAUUCAAGAAAGCUCAGAAGAAGAUGCUGGUGUCAGGAGAACUGCACUGAAGGCCUAUCUGGACAGGACAGAGUCCCCAGUUGUUGGAGCUGGAGCGUCUGCCAGCCCUGACGAAGGGGCGACGUGGGGCUGUACAGUUGUCCCUGCAGAAGCAGAGGGGGUCA